This 468-nucleotide ribosomal RNA is filed under the name uncultured bacterium. Its description in RNAcentral is "partial 16S ribosomal RNA". It matches the Rfam family "Bacterial small subunit ribosomal RNA", at positions 28 to 507 of the family's 1533-position model. The record is from RNAcentral.
GACGAACGCUGGCGGCGUGCUUAACACAUGCAAGUCGAACGGAAAGGCCCUGCUUUUGGGGGGUGCUCGAGUGGCGAACGGGUGAGUAACACGUGAGUAACCUGCCCUUGACUUUGGGAUAACUUCAGGAAACUGGGGCUAAUACCUGAUAGGAGCUCCGGCGGCAGGGUGGGGGUUGGAAAGUUUCGGCGGUUGGGGAUGGACUCGCGGCUUAUCAGCGUGUUGGUGGGGUAGUGGCUUACCAAGGCUUUGACGGGUAGCCGGCCUGAGAGGGUGACCGGCCACAUUGGGACUGAGAUACGGCCCAGACUCAUACGGGAGGCAGCAGUGGGGAAUAUUGCAAAAUGGGCGGAAGCCUGAUGCAGCAACGCCGCGUGCGGGAUGACGGCCUUCGGGUUGUAAACCGCUUUCGCAUGUGACGAAGCGUGAGUGACGGUAAUGGGUAAAGAAGCACCGGCUAACUACGUG